This 465-nucleotide ribosomal RNA is filed under the name uncultured Klebsiella sp. Its description in RNAcentral is "bacterial SSU rRNA". It matches the Rfam family "Bacterial small subunit ribosomal RNA", at positions 338 to 795 of the family's 1533-position model. Lineage: Bacteria; Pseudomonadati; Pseudomonadota; Gammaproteobacteria; Enterobacterales; Enterobacteriaceae. The record is from RNAcentral.
CCUACGGGUGGCUGCAGUGGGGAAUAUUGCACAAUGGGCGCAAGCCUGAUGCAGCCAUGCCGCGUGUGUGAAGAAGGCCUUCGGGUUGUAAAGCACUUUCAGCGGGGAGGAAGGCGUUAAGGUUAAUAACCUUGUCGAUUGACGUUACCCGCAGAAGAAGCACCGGCUAACUCCGUGCCAGCAGCCGCGGUAAUACGGAGGGUGCAAGCGUUAAUCGGAAUUACUGGGCGUAAAGCGCACGCAGGCGGUCUGUCAAGUCGGAUGUGAAAUCCCCGGGCUCAACCUGGGAACUGCAUUCGAAACUGGCAGGCUAGAGUCUUGUAGAGGGGUGUAGAAUUCCAGGUGUAGCGGUGAAAUGCGUAGAGAUCUGGAGGAAUACCGGUGGCGGAGGCGGCCCCCUGGACAAAGACUGACGCUCAGGUGCGAAAGCGUGGGGAGCAAACAGGAUUAGAUACCCGUGUAGUC